GGGUUGUGAGGUUAAGCGACUAAGCGUACACGGUGGAUGCCCUGGCAGUCAGAGGCGAUGAAGGACGUGCUAAUCUGCGAUAAGCGUCGGUAAGGUGAUAUGAACCGUUAUAACCGGCGAUUUCCGAAUGGGGAAACCCAGUGUGAUUCGUCACACUAUCAUUAACUGAAUCCAUAGGUUAAUGAGGCGAACCGGGGGAACUGAAACAUCUAAGUACCCCGAGGAAAAGAAAUCAAC
RNAcentral lists this ribosomal RNA (237 nucleotides) under Escherichia coli. Its description in RNAcentral is "partial 23S ribosomal RNA". It matches the Rfam family "Bacterial large subunit ribosomal RNA", at positions 1 to 229 of the family's 2925-position model. RNAcentral also lists the same sequence under 1 other name. The record is from RNAcentral. Lineage: Bacteria; Pseudomonadati; Pseudomonadota; Gammaproteobacteria; Enterobacterales; Enterobacteriaceae.